RNAcentral lists this ribosomal RNA (921 nucleotides) under uncultured organism. Its description in RNAcentral is "bacterial SSU rRNA". It matches the Rfam family "Bacterial small subunit ribosomal RNA", at positions 509 to 1422 of the family's 1533-position model. The record is from RNAcentral.
CAGCCCCGCGGUAAGACGGAGGCCCCUAGCGUUGUUCAGAAUCACUGGGCUUAAAGAGGUUGUAGCCGGAGCAGCAAGUACUUUGUGAAAGCCCCGGGCUCAACCCGGGAAUUGCUUGGUAUACUGUUGCUCUUGAGGCAGGUAGGGGUCACUGGAACCUUAGGUGGACCGGUGAAAUGCGUAGAUAUCUAAGGGAACGCCUGUGGCGAAAGCGGGUGACUGGGCCUGUCCUGACGCUGAGACCCGAAAGCGUAGGGAGCAAACAGGAUUAGAUACCCUGGUAGUCUACGCCGUAAACGAUGCGCACUAGGUUCGAGAGCUACUGACGGCCCUCGUGCCGAAGCAAAAGUACUAAGUGCGCCGCCUGGGGAGUACGGCCGCAAGGCUAAAACUCAAAGGAAUUGACGGGGGCUCACACAAGCGGUGGAGCAUGUGGAUCAAUUCGAAGCAACGCGAAGAACCUUACCUGGGUUUGACAUGCACGGAUGCCCUUCUGGAAACAGGAGUAAGCUGCCUUCGGGUGAAACGUGCACAGGUGCUGCAUGGCUGUCGUCAGCUCGUGCUGUGAAGUGUCGGGUUAAGUCCCUUAACGAGCGAAACCCUUGUCGCUAGUUGCCAGCGGGUCAUGCCGGGAACUCUAGCGAGACUGCCGGCGUUAAGCCGGAGGAAGGUGGGGAUGACGUCAAGUCAUCAUGGCCUUUAUGCCCAGGGUGUCACACGUGCUACAAUGGGGCGUACAGAGCGACGCAAGACCGUGAGGUGGAGCAAAUCGCAGAAAGCGUCCCUCAGUUCGGAUCGGGGUCUGCAACUCGACCCCGUGAAGCUGGAAUCGCUAGUAAUCGCGUAUCAGCCAUGACGCGGUGAAUAUGUUCCUGAGCAUUGUACACACCGCCCGUCAAGUCAUGGAAGCUGGGAGUUCCC